RNAcentral lists this ribosomal RNA (465 nucleotides) under uncultured bacterium. RNAcentral's name for it is "partial 16S ribosomal RNA". It matches the Rfam family "Bacterial small subunit ribosomal RNA", at positions 28 to 507 of the family's 1533-position model. The record is from RNAcentral.
GACGAACGCUGGCGGCGUGCUUAACACAUGCAAGUCGAACGGAAAGGCCCCUUUGGGGGUACUCGAGUGGCGAACGGGUGCGUAACACGUGCGUAACCUUCCCUUGACUUCGGGAUAACUUCAGGAAACUGGGGCUAAUACCGGAUAGGAAUCCUUGCUGCAUGGUGGGGGUUGGAAAGCUUCGGCGGUUUUGGAUGGACUCGCGGCUUAUCAGCUUGUUGGUGGGGUAGUGGCUUACCAAGGCUUUGACGGGUAGCCGGCCUGAGAGGGCGACCGGCCACAUUGGGACUGAGAUACGGCCCAGACUCCUACGGGAGGCAGCAGUGGGGAAUAUUGCACAAUGGGCGGAAGCCUGAUGCAGCAACGCCGCGUGCGGGAUGACGGCCUUCGGGUUGUAAACCGCUUUCAGCAGGGGCGAAGCUUGUGGUGACGGUACCUGCAGAAGAAGCACCGGCUAACUACGUG